GAGUUUGAUCCUGGCUCCAGGACGAACCGCUGGCGGCGUGCCUAAUCCAUGCAAGUAGAACGCUGAGAAAAGGAGCUUGCUUCUUUUGGAUGAGUUGCGAACGGGUGAGUAACGCGUAGGUACCUUGCCUUGUAGCGGGGGAUAACUAAUGGAAACGAUAGCUAAUACCGCAUAACAGCUUUUGACACAUGUUAGAAGCUUGAAAGAUGCAAUUGCAUCACUACGAGAUGGACCUGCGUUGUAUUAGCUAGUAGGUAGGGUAACGGCCUACCUAGGCGACGAUACAUAGCCGACCUGAGAGGGUGAUCGGCCACACUGGGACUGAGACACGGCCCAGACUCCUACGGGAGGCAGCAGUAGGGAAUCUUCGGCAAUGGGGGCAACCCUGACCGAGCAACGCCGCGUGAGUGAAGAAGGUUUUCGGAUCGUAAAGCUCUGUUGUAAGAGAAGAACGUGUGUGAGAGUGGAAAGUUCACACAGUGACGGUAACUUACCAGAAAGGGACGGCUAACUACGUGCCAGCAGCCGCGGUAAUACGUAGGUCCCGAGCGUUGUCCGGAUUUAUUGGGCGUAAAGCGAGCGCAGGCGGUUUAAUAAGUCUGAAGUUAAAGGCAGUGGCUUAACCAUUGUUCGCUUUGGAAACUGUUAAACUUGAGUGCAGAAGGGGAGAGUGGAAUUCCAUGUGUAGCGGUGAAAUGCGUAGAUAUAUGGAGGAACACCGGUGGCGAAAGCGGCUCUCUGGUCUGUAACUGACGCUGAGGCUCGAAAGCGUGGGGAGCAAACAGGAUUAGAUACCCUGGUAGUCCACGCCGUAAACGAUGAGUGCUAGGUGUUAGGCCCUUUCCGGGGCUUAGUGCCGCAGCUAACGCAUNAAGC
RNAcentral lists this ribosomal RNA (876 nucleotides) under uncultured bacterium. RNAcentral describes it as "bacterial SSU rRNA". It matches the Rfam family "Bacterial small subunit ribosomal RNA", at positions 9 to 865 of the family's 1533-position model. The record is from RNAcentral.